Molecule: long non-coding RNA, 638 nt
Organism: Daucus carota subsp. sativus
Lineage: Eukaryota; Viridiplantae; Streptophyta; Magnoliopsida; Apiales; Apiaceae
Exons: 2
Source: RefSeq, a predicted model, not a curated record
CUAAUUUUAAAAUUUGUGUUUGAUUUUGAUCAUCAAUUUUAACCAUAAUCUAAUAUAUUUAUGUGAGUUUUAGGUUCUAUAUUCCAAAUUGGUUCUUAUUUGAAUAUAAUUAUAUGUAUGCGUUACACAAACGUAAAAUCUCAUAAAAUAAUUGAAAAUCCAGAAACUUCCCGAAAAUUCAAUGUGAUAUCUUCCUUGACAAAAAUAAUCUGAAUAAUAUUAAAUAUGAUUUGUAAAACUAUCUAUAAAACCAAGCAAGCAAAGUACUAAGUUACACAUUCUCGAGUUCUUCGUUCUUUUAUUUUUCGCUCUACAAGAGGAAAAACAUUUUUAUCUUCCUCGGCCGAAGCUUUAAUGGCAACUUCUGUUGUCACUAAUGCUUCGGCCGAGACGUCUACUUGUUAGCGUUCACUUUGACUAGUUUAAUUUCUUAUAUAUGUAUCUCAAAAGAUAUAAUCUUCUCGGUACCAGAUAAAGAAAAAUAAAAAAUGAUCUUUGGAUGUGGAACUCGUGCAGCUAUGAGACUGGAAUUCAUGCGGCCAUAAAACGGACUUCUUGUAGAUUCCAAAUAUUCCGAUCUCUCGCAUGUUCAAAUCUACUAGAUCAGUUUUUAAUUUUAAUAUUUUUGUAACGGUCCC